GGAGAAGGGGAAGUUUGCUGUUGUUUUAAUACAUGGAUUUGGUGGAGGAGUAUUCUCGUGGAGGCUGAUGAUGGGUGUACUUGCGCGACAGAUUGGUUGCACUGUUGUGGCCUUUGAUCGACCAGGCUGGGGAUUAACAUCUCGUCCAUGUAGGAAGGAUUGGGAAGAGAAGCAUUUGCCGAACCCUUACAAGCUAGAAUCACAGGUUGACCUUCUUAUUUCUUUCUGCAUGGAGAUGGGCUUUUCUUCUGUGGUUCUUGUUGGUCAUGACGACGGUGGCAUCCUUGCUUUGAAGGCGGCCGAGAAAAUACGUGCCUCAGAAUCUCCACAUGUGGCAAUCAAGGGGGUGGUGCUUCUCGGUGUUAGCUUAUCAAG
Molecule: unclassified non-coding RNA, 375 nt
Filed under: Hevea brasiliensis (rubber tree)
Lineage: Eukaryota; Viridiplantae; Streptophyta; Magnoliopsida; Malpighiales; Euphorbiaceae
Source: RNAcentral